UGGCCAUAUCAGAAUCGCUGCCGUCCCACA
This 30-nucleotide non-coding RNA is filed under the name Mus musculus (house mouse). The record is from RNAcentral. Lineage: Eukaryota; Metazoa; Chordata; Mammalia; Rodentia; Muridae.